RNAcentral lists this ribosomal RNA (498 nucleotides) under uncultured bacterium. RNAcentral describes it as "partial 16S ribosomal RNA". It matches the Rfam family "Bacterial small subunit ribosomal RNA", at positions 30 to 523 of the family's 1533-position model. The record is from RNAcentral.
AUUGAACGCUGGCGGCAUGCCUUACACAUGCAAGUCGAACGGUAACAGGUCUUCGGAUGCUGACGAGUGGCGAACGGGUGAGUAAUACAUCGGAACGUGCCUAGUAGUGGGGGAUAACUACUCGAAAGAGUGGCUAAUACCGCAUGAGAUCUACGGAUGAAAGCAGGGGAUCGCAAGACCUUGCCCUACUAGAGCGGCCGAUGGCAGAUUAGGUAGUUGGUGGGAUAAAAGCUUACCAAGCCGACGAUCUGUAGCUGGUCUGAGAGGACGAUCAGCCACACUGGGACUGAGACACGGCCCAGACUCCUACGGGAGGCAGCAGUGGGGAAUUUUGGACAAUGGGCGAAAGCCUGAUCCAGCAAUGCCGCGUGCAGGAUGAAGGCCUUCGGGUUGUAAACUGCUUUUGUACGGAACGAAAAGCCCCGGGUUAAUACCCAGGGGUCAUGACGGUACCGUAAGAAUAAGCACCGGCUAACUACGUGCCAGCCGCCGCCGUAA